This 24-nucleotide microRNA is filed under the name Pristionchus pacificus. RNAcentral describes it as "ppc-miR-2273". Lineage: Eukaryota; Metazoa; Nematoda; Chromadorea; Rhabditida; Neodiplogasteridae. The record is from miRBase by way of RNAcentral.
UCUCGAAAGCGGCACAUGCCAUCC